GUGAGGAAUUUUCCGCAAUGGGCGAAAGCCUGACGGAGCAAUGCCGCGUGAAGGAUGAAGGCCUAUGGGUUGUAAACUUCUUUUCUCAGAAAAGAAUUAUGACGGUAUCUGAGGAAUAAGCAUCGGCUAACUCUGUGCCAGCAGCCGCGGUAAGACAGAGGAUGCAAGCGUUAUCCGGAAUGAUUGGGCGUAAAGCGUCUGUAGGUUGUUUAAAAAGUAUUCUGUCAAAGAUUAGGGCUUAACCCUAGAUAGUCAGAAUAAACUUUUAAGCUAGAGUUUGGUAGAGGCAGAGGGAAUUCCCGGUGGAGCGGUGAAAUGCGUAGAUAUCGGGAGGAACACCAAAGGCGAAGGCACUCUGCUGGGCCAAUACUAACACUGAGAGACGAAAGCGAGGGGAGCAAAUGGGAUUAGAAACCCUGGUAGUCC
Molecule: ribosomal RNA, 426 nt
Filed under: uncultured bacterium
Lineage: Bacteria
Description: partial 16S ribosomal RNA
Rfam family: Bacterial small subunit ribosomal RNA
Source: RNAcentral